This 467-nucleotide ribosomal RNA is filed under the name uncultured bacterium. RNAcentral's name for it is "partial 16S ribosomal RNA". It matches the Rfam family "Bacterial small subunit ribosomal RNA", at positions 28 to 507 of the family's 1533-position model. The record is from RNAcentral.
GAUGAACGCUGGCGGCGUGCUUAACACAUGCAAGUCGAACGGAAAGGCCCAAGCUUGCUUGGGUACUCGAGUGGCGAACGGGUGAGUAACACGUGGGUGAUCUGCCCUGCACUUCGGGAUAAGCCUGGGAAACUGGGUCUAAUACCGGAUAGGACCACUUCUUGGAUGUUGUGGUGGAAAGUUUUUUCGGUGUGGGAUGAGCUCGCGGCCUAUCAGCUUGUUGGUGGGGUAAUGGCCUACCAAGGCGUCGACGGGUAGCCGGCCUGAGAGGGUGUACGGCCACAUUGGGACUGAGAGACGGCCCAGACUCCUACGGGAGGCAGCAGUGGGGAAUAUUGCACAAUGGGCGCAAGCCUGAUGCAGCGACGCCGCGGGGGGGAGGACGGCCUUCGGGUUGUAAACUCCUUUCGCUAGGGACGAAGCGUUUUGUGACGGUACCUGGAGAAGAAGCACCGGCUAACUACGUG